AACUCAUUCCCGUCUCACCCUCCCCCCACCCUUCGUCUCACCUAUCCUCCCCCUCCCCCCCACCCACCCAACCAACCCCCACGUCGCCCAAUCUGUCCCCAAACCCUCCCUCUGCUCUAAGGCUGCAACCAUCCCUCUGCCCAGCACCACACAUUCUCUCCCUCAACCCUCCCUCUGCCUAGCAACUCUGUUGUCUUCGAAUAUCCCUCUAUGUAGCAUCCCCUCCAACGGGCUAAGGUAUUUAUUCUUAUAAAAUGCGUUCAAAAAGGAUUAUAUGAAAUUCUAGGCUAAGAGCUGCAAGGUUUGGAGGUCUUGGUAGUGGACCAUUUGACUAGAUAAGGCUCUUAUAAGCUUGUAGUUAUGUUAUGCUUGGAAGAUAUGGGAUGAUGUAUUGCUUCGCGAGCAUGAAGAUCGUAAAAUGGAAGAUGAAGUACAAGAGAGAGACAACUCUACGAAAUGAAAAGCAAAAAUUAUUUUGUUUGUACUGGAUUGUCACAAUUGUAAUAGUUUUGACUUCAUUCUGAUAAACUGUAUGUAAAUAGCACGUUGGAGUAUAUUGUUUUUGAAUAGAUCAAUUGUAAUGGUACUCCCCCUAUGUAGGUUCAUUAAAUUAACAUUUGAAAUAAAAAGUUGUGUAAUGAAAACAGCUUGUGCACAUCUCAUGAAUGAUUUCAGUUUUGA
This is a long non-coding RNA of Juglans microcarpa x Juglans regia, 681 nucleotides long. RefSeq lists it as uncharacterized. The record is from RefSeq and is a predicted model, not a curated record. The transcript is spliced from 2 exons. Lineage: Eukaryota; Viridiplantae; Streptophyta; Magnoliopsida; Fagales; Juglandaceae.